This 245-nucleotide ribosomal RNA is filed under the name Listeria monocytogenes. Its description in RNAcentral is "partial 23S ribosomal RNA". It matches the Rfam family "Bacterial large subunit ribosomal RNA", at positions 387 to 634 of the family's 2925-position model. The record is from RNAcentral. Lineage: Bacteria; Bacillati; Bacillota; Bacilli; Caryophanales; Listeriaceae.
GCUUUCCCUCCAGAGUGGAUCCUGAGUACGGCGGAACACGUGAAAUUCCGUCGGAAUCCGGGAGGACCAUCUCCCAAGGCUAAAUACUCCCUAGUGACCGAUAGUGAACCAGUACCGGGAGGGAAAGGUGAAAAGCACCCCGGAAGGGGAGUGAAACAGUUCCUGAAACCGGGUGCCUACAAGUAGGUAGAGGCCGUUAAUGGGUGAUAGCGUGCCUUUUGUAGAAUGAACAGGCGAGUUACGAU